This 468-nucleotide ribosomal RNA is filed under the name uncultured bacterium. Its description in RNAcentral is "partial 16S ribosomal RNA". It matches the Rfam family "Bacterial small subunit ribosomal RNA", at positions 28 to 507 of the family's 1533-position model. The record is from RNAcentral.
GACGAACGCUGGCGGCGUGCUUAACACAUGCAAGUCGAACGGAAAGGCCCUGCUUUUGUGGGGUGCUCGAGUGGCGAACGGGGGAGUAACACGUGAGUAACCUGCCCUUGACUUUGGGAUAACUUCAGGAAACUGGGGCUAAUACCGGAUAGGAGCUCCUGCUGCAUGGUGGGGGUUGGAAAGUUUCGGCGGUUGGGGCUGGACUCGCGGCUUAUCAGCUUGUUGGUGGGGUAGUGGCUUACCAAGGCUUUGACGGGUAGCCGGCCUGAGAGGGUGACCGGCGACAUUGGGACUGAGAUACGGACCAGACUCCAACGUGAGGCAGCAGUGGGGAAUAUUGCACAAUGGGCGGAAGCCUGAUGCAGCAACGCCGCGUGCGGGAUGACGGCCUUCGGGUUGUAAACCGCUUUCGCCUGUGACGAAGCGUGAGUGACGGUAAUGGGUAAAGAAGCACCGGCUAACUACGUG